GAUGAAGAACGCAGCGAAAUGCGAUAAGUAAUGUGAAUUGCAGAAUUCAGUGAAUCAUCGAAUCUUUGAACGCACAUUGCGCCCGCCAGUAUUCUGGCGGGCAUGCCUGUUCGAGCGUCAUUUCAACCCUCAAGCCCCCUGUGGACUUGGUGUUGGGGACCGGCGACACAAACCCUCUCGGGGGUGCGAGUCGCCGCCCCCUAAAUGAAUUGGCGGCCUCGUCGCGGCCCUCCUCUGCGUAGUAGCAUACACCUCGCAACAGGAGCCCGACGACGGCCACUGCCGUAAAACGCACCAAACUUUUUUAGAGUUGACCUCGAAUCAGGUAGGAAUACCCGCUGAACUUAAGCAUAUCAAUAAGCGGAGGA
RNAcentral lists this unclassified non-coding RNA (368 nucleotides) under soil metagenome. RNAcentral's name for it is "partial contains 5.8S ribosomal RNA, internal transcribed spacer 2, and large subunit ribosomal RNA". The stretch from base 1 to 120 matches the Rfam family "5.8S ribosomal RNA", at positions 35 to 154 of the family's 154-position model. The record is from RNAcentral.